RNAcentral lists this ribosomal RNA (433 nucleotides) under uncultured bacterium. RNAcentral describes it as "partial 16S ribosomal RNA". It matches the Rfam family "Bacterial small subunit ribosomal RNA", at positions 29 to 507 of the family's 1533-position model. The record is from RNAcentral.
AGCGAACGCUGGCGGCAGGCCUAACACAUACAAGUCGAACGAACUCUUCGGAGUUAGUGGCGGACGGGUGAGUAACACGUGGGAACGUGCCCUUUGGUACGGAAUAACUCAGGGAAACUUGAGCUAAUACCGUAUGUGCCCUUCGGGGGAAAGAUUUAUCGCCAUUGGAGCGGCCCGCGUCUGAUUAGCUAGUUGGUGAGGUAAAGGCUCACCAAGGCUACGAUCAGUAGCUGGUCUGAGAGGAUGAUCAGCCACAUUGGGACUGAGACACGGCCCAAACUCCUACGGGAGGCAGCAGUGGGGAAUCUUGCGCAAUGGGCGAAAGCCUGACGCAGCCAUGCCGCGUGAAUGAUGAAGGUCUUAGGAUUGUAAAAUUCUUUCACCGGGGACGAUAAUGACGGUACCCGGAGAAGAAGCCCCGGCUAACUUCGUG